This 1055-nucleotide non-coding RNA is filed under the name Tetraclita japonica (Japanese acorn barnacle). RNAcentral describes it as "12S ribosomal RNA". The stretch from base 394 to 1055 matches the Rfam family "Microsporidia small subunit ribosomal RNA". The record is from RNAcentral. Lineage: Eukaryota; Metazoa; Arthropoda; Thecostraca; Balanomorpha; Tetraclitidae.
AAUUUUUUUAUGAAAAAGGGGGCAUAAGAGCCGGGAAAAUUUUAUAAAAUUUGUAUUAAAACUUUGGACAUGAUUAGGAAAUUCCAAAUUUAUUAAUAAUCAAAAUAUUUAUUUUUAGUACCAUUUCCUUGGGUCACAUGGCUUUUUGACAAUUUUUAGGCUUUUGGGAGGGGUUGGAAUGUUUUUUUGAUUUUGGGUUAGAAAUGCUUGCUUUUUCUUUUUAUUGGACAUAAUAUACAAUAUUUUAGAAAAAAGUUUUUCCAGAUUUCUUUUUGUUUAAUAUAAAGUUUUUCCUUGGUGGGAGUGGAACGUUGAGGUCCGUGUUGUAAUUUUAGUUUUUUCGUAAAUCUACAUGUAAGUUAGCGCUAGUAAUUUAGCAAAGGUAAAAUAGAGAAGGAGAUUCUCAGUAGAAAAUUUUGGAAAUAUAUAAAAAUUUUAUCCAGAUAACGAGAGAGGGGUGGAAAAUGGCGUGCCAGCAGCCGCGGUUAUACUUCAGCCUCAAGCUAAAAUUUUUGUACAAAAUUGUGCUUUGUUGGUGUUACUAGGUUUUAUUUGAGUUGUAGAGUAGAAUCUAAACUUGAAGAAAUGAUAGAAAAAAAGAAGCAUGAAAUUUAUUAUAGGGACCAGGAUUAGAUACCCUGUUACUUUUAAUUAAGAGGUUUUGGAAUAAUAGUAUUAAUGAAAUUUAACGGAUUUGGCGGCAAGAUAGCCCCUUAGAGGAACCUGCCCUGUAAACGAUGAACCACGAGGGACGUAACUUUCUUUGGUAAUCAGUUUGUAUACCGCUGUUGUCAGUUAGAUUCUUGAGAAUAUUUUCGUUUAUGAUAAUUUCAUUGACUUCAAGUAAAGGUGCAGCUUAUGUGAAAGGUAGAGGUGGGUUACAUUUAUAAGAAUAAAACGGAUAAGAUAAAUGAAAGGAUCUUUGAAGGUGGAUUUAACUGUAAAACUUAAGUAGGUUUGGUGAGAGCUCUAUCUUGUGUACACACCGCCCGUCGCUCUCUUUUUUAAAACGAGAUAAGUCGUAACAAGGUAAGUGUAAUGGAAAUUGUACUUGA